Molecule: ribosomal RNA, 254 nt
Filed under: uncultured bacterium
Lineage: Bacteria
Description: partial 16S ribosomal RNA
Rfam family: Bacterial small subunit ribosomal RNA
Source: RNAcentral
UACGGGGGGGAGCAAGCGUUGUUCGGAUUUACUGGGCGUAAAGGGCGCGUAGGUGGUUGAUCAAGUCUGGGGUGAAAUCUUUCGGCUUAACCGGAAAAGUGCCUUGGAUACUGAUCAGCUGGAGGGAGGUAGGGGCAGUUGGAACUUCCAGUGGAGCGGUGAAAUGCGUUGAUAUUGGAAGGAACGCCGGUGGCGAAAGCGAGCUGCUGGACCUCUUCUGACACUGAGGCGCGAAAGCUAGGGGAGCAAACGGG